UACAGAGGUCUCAAGCGUUGUUCGGAUUCAUUGGGCGUAAAGGGCUCGUAGGCGGCCAACUAAGUCGGACGUGAAAUCCCCAGGCUCAACCUGGGAACUGCAUCCGAUACUGGAUGGCUUGAAUUCGGGAGAGGGAUGCAGAAUUCCAGGUGUAGCGGUGAAAUGCGUAGAUAUCUGGAGGAAUACCGGUGGCGAAGGCGGCAUCCUGGACCGACAUUGACGCUGAGGAGCGAAAGCCAGGGGAGCAAACGGG
This 253-nucleotide ribosomal RNA is filed under the name uncultured bacterium. Its description in RNAcentral is "partial 16S ribosomal RNA". It matches the Rfam family "Bacterial small subunit ribosomal RNA", at positions 524 to 776 of the family's 1533-position model. The record is from RNAcentral.